UACAGAGGUCCCAAGCGUUGUUCGGAUUCACUGGGCGUAAAGGGCGCGUAGGUGGUUGCGUAAGUGAGAUGUGAAAGCCCCGGGCUUAACCUGGGAACUGCAUCUUAUACUGCGUAGCUGGAGUGAAGUAGAGGGUAGUGGAAUUUCCGGUGUAGCGGUGAAAUGCGUAGAUAUCGGAAGGAACACCAGUGGCGAAGGCGGCUACCUGGACUUAAACUGACACUGAGGCGCGAAAGCGUGGGUAGCAAACAGG
Molecule: ribosomal RNA, 253 nt
Filed under: uncultured bacterium
Lineage: Bacteria
Description: partial 16S ribosomal RNA
Rfam family: Bacterial small subunit ribosomal RNA
Source: RNAcentral